RNAcentral lists this microRNA precursor (62 nucleotides) under Ornithorhynchus anatinus (platypus). RNAcentral's name for it is "microRNA oan-mir-7401 precursor". The record is from miRBase by way of RNAcentral. Lineage: Eukaryota; Metazoa; Chordata; Mammalia; Monotremata; Ornithorhynchidae.
CUGUGCACAGAGUACUGGACUAUACUCUCCCAAGCACUUAGUACAAUGCUCUGUACGCAGCA